This is a long non-coding RNA of Ictalurus punctatus (channel catfish), 664 nucleotides long. Lineage: Eukaryota; Metazoa; Chordata; Actinopteri; Siluriformes; Ictaluridae. The record is from Ensembl.
CUGGACCCACUGAAUUCUGACAGUUCUGACAGACUGGAACAAGCUACACCAUGAAGAUCUUCUUGCUUUUCCUCACCACCAUGAUGGUUACUGCAGCACCUCAUGCACCUUCAUCAGAUGGACAUAAACUUAAGCGUUUGAUUUUAGAAGAAAUCAUUCAAAGUAUAAAGGACGUGAAAGACAGCCUAACAGCAGAGAUUUUUGUCCAAAAAGUUAUAACAACUGAACACUGCACUCAUAAGAACCUCUGCAAAGCACACAAAAUCCUGUCGGUGUAUAAAGCAGAGGAUCUCGGACUAAAGGAAAAAGACUGGCUACUGCCCAGGCAACUUGAAGCCUACAUUAAGGACAUAAACUGCAAGGACCCAGCAUCAGAGGAUCAAAUUACCCUUCUCCAACUUCUGGAUAGCAUAUACCAUUGUGCUAAGAAGGAGUACUCAAAACCUUUUGAUGUAUCUACCAGAUCAUCUCUCAAUUAGAGAAACUAAUUAUACUUGUAUGUUCAGUUAAUCAUAAAUUGUUGUUUUUUUAACCUUAAAGUAUUUCAAUGAAGGCACAGUACAUAUUACAUUGGCAUUUUACAUAUUGCUUAUAAUGUUGUGUUAAAUCUUUUUGUUCUUUUUUCAUAAAUUUACAGCUUUCUCAUGUGGUAUUUAAUUAGUCA